This 30-nucleotide non-coding RNA is filed under the name Rattus norvegicus (Norway rat). The record is from RNAcentral. Lineage: Eukaryota; Metazoa; Chordata; Mammalia; Rodentia; Muridae.
UAGUUGGUGCACUUACACUGGGCUUCCUGC